UGGGGAAUAUUGGACAAUGGGCGCAAGCCUGAUCCAGCCAUGCCGCGUGAGUGAUGAAGGCCUUAGGGUUGUAAAGCUCUUUCGCCGACGAAGAUAAUGACGGUAGUCGGAGAAGAAGCCCCGGCUAACUUCGUGCCAGCAGCCGCGGUAAUACGAAGGGGGCUAGCGUUGUUCGGAACCACUGGGCGUAAAGCGCACGUAGGCGGAUUGUUAAGUCAGGGGUGAAAGCCUGGAGCUCAACUCCAGAACUGCCCUUGAUACUGGCAAUCUCGAGUCCGGAAGAGGUAAGUGGAACUGCGAGUGUAGAGGUGAAAAUUCGUAGAUAUUCGCAAGAACACCAGUGGCGAAGGCGGCUUACUGGUCCGGUACUGACGCUGAGGUGCGAAAAGCGUGGGGAGCAAAACAGGAUUAGAUACCCUGGUAGUCCACGCCGUAAAACGAUGGAGGCUAGCCGUUGGCGAGCAUGCUCGUCAGUGGCGCAGCUAAACGCAUUAAAGCCUCCCGCCUGGGGAGUAACGGUCGCAAAGAUUAAAAACUCAAAAAUGAAUUGACGGGG
Molecule: ribosomal RNA, 556 nt
Filed under: uncultured bacterium
Lineage: Bacteria
Description: partial 16S ribosomal RNA
Rfam family: Bacterial small subunit ribosomal RNA
Source: RNAcentral